RNAcentral lists this ribosomal RNA (264 nucleotides) under uncultured bacterium. Its description in RNAcentral is "partial 16S ribosomal RNA". It matches the Rfam family "Bacterial small subunit ribosomal RNA", at positions 524 to 779 of the family's 1533-position model. The record is from RNAcentral.
UACGUAGGGUGCAAGCGUUUGUCCGGAAUUAUUGGGCGUAAAGAGCUCGUAGGCGGUCUGUCGCGUCUGCUGUGAAAACUCAGGGCUUAACCCUGAGCUUGCAGUGGGUACGGGCAGACUAGAGUGCGGUAGGGGAGACUGGAAUUCCUGGGUGUAGUGGUGAAAUGCGCAGAUAUCAGGAGGAACACCGGGUGGCGAAGGCGGGUCGCUGGGUCCGUAACUGGACGCUGAGGAGCGAAAAGCAUGGGGGAGCGAACAGGGAUU